GUGUUUAGAAGAUUCAGUCCACAGUUGGCUGCCUCCAAGGCAGGAAGGGCAUGGUGGAACAGUCUGGGCAGAGAACAGCUGCUUGUGUCAUAGUGGCCAGGAAGCAGCAUGCAAAUCGAGGAGCCAGGGAGGGAGAUAGACCCUUCCAGGUCACUUGCCCAGUGAGCCACCUCCAACCAGGCCCCACUGCUAACAGCAACUCAGCUAUGAACUUAUCAGUGGAUUAACACAUAGGGAUCGAACUCAGGACAUUGCGCUUACAAGGCAGGCGCCAUAACCAUUGAGCUAAAUCCCCGGCCCAAGACUACUUUUGAAUGCACCAAAAGCUUCUGACUCACCAUGGCAACAUCUUCCUGCUGAAAGGUGAAGCCUGGUCAGAGGAGGUGGGCCACUGGGGGUGUGACCUGGAAGGAUCUCUCUGUCCCUCCUCCCUUGAUCUAUCUCUGCUUCCUGUCUGCCAUGUCAAGAGCAACCCUCCUUUGACUUGCCCCCCUGCCAUGCUGCCCUGCCUUGGAGCCAGACGACUAUGGAUUGAAAACUGCAAACUGUGAGCUGAAAUAAACCUUUCCUCCUUUAAGUUGUGGGUGUUGGGUAUUGUG
RNAcentral lists this long non-coding RNA (599 nucleotides) under Heterocephalus glaber (naked mole-rat). Its description in RNAcentral is "lncRNA (ENSHGLG00000033084.1)". Lineage: Eukaryota; Metazoa; Chordata; Mammalia; Rodentia; Bathyergidae. The record is from RNAcentral.